GUUAAUAUGGCAGAGAGUUUAUGCGAAAGUUCUAAGAUCUUUUUACGGGAAAAUCCCUAUUAAUU
Molecule: transfer RNA, 65 nt
Filed under: Botryllus schlosseri
Lineage: Eukaryota; Metazoa; Chordata; Ascidiacea; Stolidobranchia; Styelidae
Description: transfer RNA-Leu(UUR)
Source: RNAcentral